AUGGUGCUGGAGCCUGUGCCGAUGAGCCCGUUAGGGGAAAUGGAGGCUCCCAGGCACGAUGAGCUGUCCCAGGCCAUCUCACCAAGACGGGGCCCGAAUGCUCCCGUGAAGCGUGAAGCGCAGUGGGGAAGGCAGCGGGACGCUACACUGACUUCUUCCCUUGCAAAGGCGCAGGAUGAAUCUGCUUGGAGCAAGGCGGGCAGAAGAGGUCUUCCUAAGAAGUCUUCCGCGGGGAGCGGUGGGCCUCUGGGAUGCCCAAGGUCUCUGCCAUCACCCUCUGGUCUCUACGCUUUCAGAGGCUGGAGUGCAAUGAUGCGAUCUUGGUUUACGGCAACCAUAAGACACUGGGAAAGGUUGGCAAAUCCUGUUACCCUCAGUGCCCAUUGCAGCCGGGAGAAGGGAAAAGAAAAUUCCUGUCCCAGUGGGCAAGGGGCAAGGGUGAGAAGGCCCCACCCACAACACCCAGAGACACAGUGCCUGCCUAAAACUGAAGAAGUACCAAGACAGCAGAGAACAAUCUCCACACAGUGUACAUGCACACCUUCCAGCCCCAGGCUAGCAAGUAUCAAGUAACAAGUAGUAGUCUGCUGCUGGAGAAGGAUCAAGAGCACAUAGAGAAGCCAGGCAUGGCGGCACAUGCCUGCAGUCCCAGCUACUCGGAAGGUUGAGGCAUGCAGAUCACUUGAGCCCAGGAGUUCAAGACCAGCCUGCGAGACAUAGAGAUGCAGGAUCUCUGAGGUGCAGGAUCAUAGACAAAGUCUGGAGCUGAGGGUGGAAUAAGAUCAUUGAGGAAAAAAACGCACCUGGUUCUACCUUAAACACAAAAGAAUGCUAGAAGAAUCUGAAGCCCACAGUGCACUGAUGGUAAGCCAGUAACAACAGAGGCCAAACCCAGCUCCAUUCUUGUCCCCUACACUUAAGGCCUAGCAAAAGAAAAGGCAUACGCAUUUCCAGUCAUAAAUACCAUUUACCUCAUCUCUACCAUCCUAUGCAAGAUGUCUGUAAACAAAAAAUUAGAAGACAUACAAAGAAGCAAGGUAAAAUAACAGACUGUCAAGAGACAAAGAAAUCAACAAACAAGGCCGGGUGCGGUGGCUCAUGCCUGUAAUCCUAGCAAUUUGGGAGGCAGAGGCGGGUGGUUUGCCUUAGCCCAGGAGUUCAAGACGAGCCUGGGAAACACGGCAAAGCCCCUCUCUACAAAAAAAUACAAAAAUUAGCCAGGCAUGGUGGUGUGCACCUGUGGUCCUAGCUACUUGGCAGGCUAAGGUGGGAGAAUCACCUGAACCCAGGGAGGUCGAAGCUGUAGUGAGCUGUGAUUGUGCCACUGUACUCCAGCCUGGGUGACAGAGCAAGACCCUGUCUCAAAAAAUAAAUAAAUAAAUAAAUAAAAUAAAAAUAAAUAAAUAAAUAAGAAAAGGUAUAAAAUUGUAGAUUAUCUGGCCUUUCUCGAUGUGAG
This 1456-nucleotide long non-coding RNA is filed under the name Macaca mulatta (Rhesus monkey). RNAcentral's name for it is "lncRNA (ENSMMUG00000060811.1)". Lineage: Eukaryota; Metazoa; Chordata; Mammalia; Primates; Cercopithecidae. The record is from RNAcentral.